Molecule: ribosomal RNA, 434 nt
Filed under: uncultured Ruminococcus sp.
Lineage: Bacteria; Bacillati; Bacillota; Clostridia; Eubacteriales; Oscillospiraceae
Description: bacterial SSU rRNA
Rfam family: Bacterial small subunit ribosomal RNA
Source: RNAcentral
ACGGGAGGCAGCAGUGGGGAAUAUUGCACAAUGGGCGCAAGCCUGAUGCAGCGAUGCCGCGUGAGGGAAGAAGGUUUUCGGAUCGUAAACCUCUGUCAACAGGGACGAAAAUGACGGUACCUGUGAAGGAAGCUCCGGCUAACUACGUGCCAGCAGCCGCGGUAAUACGUAGGGAGCAAGCGUUAUCCGGAGUUACUGGGUGUAAAGGGAGUGUAGGCGGGACUGUAAGUCAGAUGUGAAAUAUGCCGGCUCAACUGGCAGACUGCAUUUGAAACUGCGGUUCUUGAGUGAAGUAGAGGUAAGCGGAAUUCCUAGUGUAGCGGUGAAAUGCGUAGAUAUUAGGAGGAACAUCAGUGGCGAAGGCGGCUUACUGGGCUUUAACUGACGCUGAGGCUCGAAAGCGUGGGGAGCAAACAGGAUUAGAUACCCUGGUA